Non-coding RNA from Erythranthe guttata (spotted monkey flower), 1905 nucleotides. The record is from RefSeq and is a predicted model, not a curated record. Lineage: Eukaryota; Viridiplantae; Streptophyta; Magnoliopsida; Lamiales; Phrymaceae.
AAUAGUAUUUAAAAAUAAUUAUACAAAUGGCUUAGGGUUGGUUAGCGUGCUUCAGAGAAACUAUUUAUAUUUGAUCAAUCUCAUACCAUAAUAUUUUUCUUCUUUCUCUGUUUGCGGAGGAUCAUGUACAAAGACGCAAGCUCCACGCGCCGGAAGCGUGUCAUCAGAACUGAUUCCAAUUUGCCACCCUAUAAGAAGAUUAAGUUUGCUAAUAAAAGUUUUGUGGUGGGUGAUGGUGUUGAUCGGAUAAGUCAUUUGCCGGUAGAAGUUCGUAUCCAUAUAUUGUCUUUGCUAUCGCUGAAAGAAGCAGCUCGAACGAGUGUUCUUUCGUUCAGUUGGUUAAACUUGUGGAAACACACCCCCUCUCUCCAUUUUGAGGCUGACAUUGAAUCGGACGUGUCAUGGAAUGAGUUAAUCGAUAGCGCGGGGCCCAAGUACGUCAAAAUGGUGAACCGUGUUGUCGAAUCACACAAAUCACUCGCAAUAAAAGAAUUCAAAAUCAAUUUUCCUUUAGACGCAUCGUACGCUAAUUCUCCGAUCACUCGGUGGCUUGAAUUCGCAUUUUCCAGACAUGUUCAGAGGUUGGAGUUGCACCUUGAUGAUCCAGAGUUUCGUAACUAUGAUACUUGUUCUUGUUUCCCCGAACAGUUACUUGCCCGGAGCAAUAUGAUUUUGGACUUUCAGUCCCUCAAAGAAUUGUCUUUUAAGAAUGUUCAAUUGAGUGGCGGAGCUAUCUGAGUUCUUUAUACAUAACUGCACUCAGCUCGAACAAUUGAUUAUCAAUUCCCCAGGAAAAUAUGUAUCAAAGCUCGAAAUUUGUGGUUCGUCACUCGUGUUGAAACACUUGGAGAUAGUCUCUUUCGUGGGUUUGGAAUCACUUAAAAUUUCCGCGCCGAGCCUUACUUCGCUUAGGGUUACGAGUUUAAAGGGAGUUUUGCUCGAGAAUGUUCCAAUGCUGGUUGAUGUAUGUGUCGGUGGUACCUAUGACGGUCUUGAUUGUCUGAAAAAUUUAAUUCACGCACUGUCUUACUGCUUUUCUCAAUUGGAAACUCUUAAAUUGCUGAUGCCGCUGUAUCACGAUAAACAAGAAAACGACGAGCUGGCAAUUUUCCUGAAAUGCCUAAAUUGAAGAAGUUGGUUGUCGAAUAUGAUUCUUUUGAUGAUGACGACCGAUUUUUUAUGAGACUCGCUUCACUGACAAGGGCAUCUCCGCACUUGCAGGAAUUCGUUCUAAAUAACAAACAGUUUGGAAGUGGGAUAAGUCCUACACGAGUCGACGAUGAUGGUGCUACUAUAAAGUUUCGGCACGAGCACCUUAAAGUGUUCAAAUUUUGUGGGUACUAUGGCCGCCCGAGCCACAAUGCGUUAGUCGAAUACAUAUUGGAGAAUUGCGUUGUGCUUGAGAAAAUAAUAAUUGAUCCCUAUGCUUCUGAAUAUUGCCCUGACGGAUUUGAUAGAUACAUAUUAAGUGUGGAGGAAGCUGCGAGGAAGAAGGCGAAGCUACAUCUUGAACCACAUUUGCCUCACCACGUUAAAUUGAUUAUUCUUUAACUUUACGUUAUCUUAUGUUUUUGUUUUUUAUUUUUAUUUUUUAUUUGUUUUUAUGAAUUUAUAAACUUCUUGAGAAAAUAAUAAUUGAUCCAAGUCUGGUGCUAAAUGUAAUUUGAUGGAUAAUAUUGAAUAUUGAAUUUUAUAUCCCGAAAAGAUGGGCUAUGGGUGGAAAUUCGAACGAGAUUUUCAAACUAUUGAUUGCAAUCCAAAUAAAUUUUAUUUUGGAACAAUAUUUUUCGGUCUGAUUCUCGAAUGCUCCGGUUUCCAUUUUAAUCAACGAAAAUCCUAUUUUAAUUUUCGAAAAUCUAUGUAUUUUAUAUUACCGGUGACCGAACAAAAUAAAAAUUCCAAAUU